Molecule: small nuclear RNA, 373 nt
Filed under: Cavia porcellus (domestic guinea pig)
Lineage: Eukaryota; Metazoa; Chordata; Mammalia; Rodentia; Caviidae
Description: 7SK RNA
Rfam family: 7SK RNA
About the family: 7SK was discovered as an abundant small nuclear RNA in the mid-70s but a possible function has only recently been suggested. Two independent studies have found that 7SK RNA binds the CDK9/cyclin T complex (known as elongation factor P-TEFb).
Source: Rfam by way of RNAcentral
GGAUGUGAGGGCUAUCUGGCUGCGACAUCUGUCACCCCAUUGACUGCCAGAGUUGAUUCAGCUGAUCUGGCUGGCUAGGCGAGUGUCCCCUUCCUCCCUCAACAAUCCAUGUGCAUCCAUGUGCGUCCCUUCCGAAGCUGCGUGCUCAUGCUCGGUUGAAGAGGAUGACCACCCCCGAUACAGGAGGACCAUUCCUCCGUCAAGGGUAUACAGGAGGACCAUUCCUCGGUCAAGGGUAUAGGAGUAGCUGUGCUCUCCUGCUAGAACCUCCAAACAAGCUCUCAAGAAAAGAAACCAAGGCUGUUACUUUUGUAGUCUCAAGCGUCAUCCCAAAUGUUUCUUUUUCAGUUCACUGUGAAAUGUGUAGAUUUGG